Molecule: ribosomal RNA, 499 nt
Filed under: uncultured bacterium
Lineage: Bacteria
Description: partial 16S ribosomal RNA
Rfam family: Bacterial small subunit ribosomal RNA
Source: RNAcentral
GACGAACGCUGGCGGCGUGCUUAACACAUGCAAGUCGAACGGGCCUGUCUUCUUUUUUGGGGGUGGGUUGAGUGGCGAACGGGUGAGUAUCACGUGAGUAACCUGCCCUUCGGUCCUGGAUAACCGCUUGAAAGGGCGGCUAAUACGGGGUGGUCCGGUUGGUCCGCAUGGGCUUGUCGGGAUAGAUUCACUGUUUUUGGUGUUUCGGCGGGGGAUGGGCUCGCGGCCUAUCAGCUUGUUGGUGGGGUGAUGGCCUACCAAGGCGGUGACGGGUAGCCGGCCUGAGAGGGUGGGCGGCCACACUGGGACUGAGAUACGGCCCAGACUCCUGCGGGAGGCAGCAGUGGGGGGUAUUGCACAAUGGGCGGAAGCCUGAUGCAGCGACGUCGCGUGAGGGAGGGAGGCCUUCGGGUUGUGAACCUCUGUUUCCGGUGGUGAAGGCCCUGUCCGUGUGGUGGGGUUGACGGUAGCCGGGGAUGAAGCGCCGGCUAACUACGUG